GCAUACACAUGGAGAUGGACUCAUCCUCCAGCUACUUUGGAUACCGUGGCUCCCAUUUUUCUACUUUCUCUGAAGGAUUGAAGCCACCUUGCCCAGAAGUCACUGGGAGUUAUGCCUCCUCCCUAAGGAUGGCCCACAGCCAGUGCCUCAUUGGAGCAAGAGGUACAGAAGCCCUGCUCCCUCAUCUGAAGAUGGGGCAGGCUCCGCAGUGCAAUCCAUGCACCCGAGCUCCCAUGGCAUCAGACUGACAUUGCUGGAAGCCACAGUCUUCCUCAGCUUCUCCUUCCCUGUCCUGCUUCCCUCACUCCCUUAUGGUUUUCUCCUGAGGGCACUCCCUUAAUAAAUC
RNAcentral lists this long non-coding RNA (346 nucleotides) under Homo sapiens (human). RNAcentral describes it as "non-protein coding lnc-MED12L-2:2". Lineage: Eukaryota; Metazoa; Chordata; Mammalia; Primates; Hominidae. The record is from RNAcentral.